ACUGUGCAAAGGUAGCAUAAUCAUUAGUUUUUUAAUUGGAAGCUUGUAUGAAUGGCUGGACGAGGCACUAGCUGUUUCAUAUUAAAUAUUAGAAUUUUAUUUUUUGGUUAGAAAGCCUAAAUUUUUUUGAAAGACGAGAAGACCCUAUAGAUCUUUAUAAUUUUUUUUUAUUAUUAUUCAUUAAGGUUGAUUAGAUAAUUAUAUUUUAGAUUAUUUUGUUGGGGUGAUAUAGAGAUUUGUUAAACUUUCUUUAAUUUUUUUACAUUUAUGAGUGGUUUUGUUUGAUCCUUUAUUUUAAGAUUAUAAAAUUAAGUUACCUUAGGGAUAACAGCGUAAUUUUUUCGGAGAGUUCAUAUCGAUGNNNNNGAUUGCGACCUCGAUGUUGGAUUAA
RNAcentral lists this ribosomal RNA (391 nucleotides) under Leleyellus eulabes. RNAcentral's name for it is "partial large subunit ribosomal RNA". The record is from RNAcentral. Lineage: Eukaryota; Metazoa; Arthropoda; Insecta; Diptera; Asilidae.